AUGACAAUGCUUUCGAUAGUCUGUACUAAAUUACUUUGUACGAAUGCACAUCUCGGCCGUCGGGUAGCUGAUCACCAUUUCAAAGUCUAUAUCCGUGGUUCAAGAAAUGGAAUUGCUAUUCUCGAUUCAGACAAGACACUGAUUUGUUUACGAAACGCUCUUCAUUUUAUAGGAUCUCCCAGUCGUCAAAAAGGCCGUUCCUUCUUUUUAAAGACCAAUCAUUUAUUUAUUUAUGAGAUAACGGAAGAAAUGGCGAGCUAUUUAAGAAGCUAUUUAAGAAAUGUGAAUUCUCAUUGUUUCGAUGAUUCUCAAUGGAAGAUCGGGGCGUUUUUGACCAAUUCUUUUGCAAAUAAAAAAAAAUUCCGUUCAAGAAAGAAGAAGAUCAAUUUUGGGUUGAACCAACAACCUGAUUGUGUGGUUAUUCUGAAUGCAGAUAGAAAGUCUUCGGUCAUACUGGAAGCUGAUCGAUCACAAAUACCUAUUCCAUCCUUAGUUGAUUCUACGAUCCCAUGGGAAUCCUAUAAAAGAAUCACUUAUCCCAUCCCAGCGAAUGAUCCUAUACAGUUCGUAUAUCUAUUUUGUCAUUCGAUCAUGAAAACAGUGAUUCUUGAACAGAAUGCGAUUAGUAGAGAAGCGCAAUCUCUCAGAGUCACUUUGAGUACGGGGAAGUCCGCAGGAGGGAUGAGAUCCGCCUGCUACUCCACCUCUUCUUCUUCCCCAAUAGACGAAGAAGAAAAUAGGGCCAAGGCGCUAUUGGAGAUGCGCAAAAAAUAUCCAUCGGGAGAUGGCGCUGACGCUGACGCUAACGCUCGCAAGGCGGUUUUGCAGGCAAUUUCACAAAAUAGUUUUUUUUUCGUUGAGCUCAUAACCCGGUUUGGGCCGAUUGACUCUGAGAGCGAUCGAGGGGUCGCGGGCUCACACCUUGCUUUUGCGCAUAGGAUCGAAGAGAUCCUAGAAUUUCAUGGAAAGAGCAGCGGCUCUCUGAAAGACCUCAUUGAUCUGAAAUUGGAUUUGGAAGACGCCUCUAAAAGAGAGGAGAUUCUACUUCCAUAUUUUUCCUCCAAAAAAGAGGCAAAGUCCUAG
Molecule: ribosomal RNA, 1083 nt
Filed under: Triticum aestivum (bread wheat)
Lineage: Eukaryota; Viridiplantae; Streptophyta; Magnoliopsida; Poales; Poaceae
Description: partial small subunit ribosomal RNA
Source: RNAcentral